UAGCAGGAAUCCGUGGCCGAGAGAAUCCCCGCCCGUUCUGAACUGAACAGACUCCAGUUCCUCUAUGCCCGAUAGGAACACGGAGGCAUAGAGAUGUAAGGUAUCUUGAGCAAAGCCACAGAGGGAAGGUUCCAGGAGCUGGAAUUCCAUCCCUCAUCUGUCUGGCUUCAAGACCCACGCUCUCUCUGAGGACGAAGAUAAGGACGCAAACCAAAACAGAGAGGAGAAAACAAGCUGGCCCGGAGGGUUGAAGAGUGAAAUCACCCCAGUCACGGCGGAUUUGACUACGAAAGGGGCUCUGAGAAGGCAAAUGCCUUUGCCCAAGGUCACCGGCCGGAUGUAGUGGAAUCCAGGACCAGCUGCCUCCCCACACCCAUGGUGCUUUUAUGGCACCGGGAGAGGCCAAGUGCAAGAAAGGAAAUGGAAUGACUCGUUUACUGCUUCAGGCACUUUCAGCAACAAGUCCUGCUUACAAACCCGUCAGUCUACCUGGCCUCCCCUCUUCCUCUGGGGGCCUCCAGCUCCUCACCUGGCAGACGAAGAGGUUGGCAAGAUGCUUUCCGGAAGAUCUUAGAGCUCUGACAUUGGAAACUGCCAUGGUGAAGUGCAGAGAAGCACUCUUUAUUCCAAGGAACCCUUCAGUGCGAGGAGAAUCUUCCCGAAAUGGAAACUGGUAUGACUCCUAUAAGCAGUUAGCUGAUUUGUGUCUGUGUGCCCGUUAAAUGGAUUUACAGCUCAUGAUACCUCAUUUCAAUUUAACUAAUCCUCACCGAAUGGACAAGUGAUUUUAAAAGAUUCCCUGAAGGAACUGCAAGCUGAAGAUCAUAUUAAUGAGGCAAACCCAAGGGAACGGCAGGAAAAUGGCUAGGAGGCUACUUCGUGGCAAGUCCUAGUGCUCGCUGCUCUUUCAGCGAAUGCCUGGAUAAAAAUAA
Molecule: non-coding RNA, 932 nt
Organism: Leptonychotes weddellii (Weddell seal)
Lineage: Eukaryota; Metazoa; Chordata; Mammalia; Carnivora; Phocidae
Source: RefSeq, a predicted model, not a curated record